Molecule: ribosomal RNA, 376 nt
Filed under: uncultured organism
Description: partial 16S ribosomal RNA
Rfam family: Bacterial small subunit ribosomal RNA
Source: RNAcentral
GUAGGUGGCAAGCGUUGUCCGGAAUUAUUGGGCGUAAAGCGCGCGCAGGCGGUUCUUUAAGUCUGAUGUGAAAGCCCACGGCUCAACCGUGGAGGGUCAUUGGAAACUGGAGAACUUGAGUACAGAAGAGGAAAGCGGAAUUCCACGCGUAGCGGUGAAAUGCGUAGAGAUGUGGAGGAACACCAGUGGCGAAGGCGGCUUUUCUGGUCUGUAACUGACGCUGAGGCGCGAAAGCGUGGGGAGCAAACAGGGAUUAGAUACCCUGGUAGUCCACGCCGUAAACGAUGAGUGCUAAGUGUUAGGGGGGUUUCCGCCCCCUUAGUGCUGCAGCUAACGCAUUAAGCACCCCCGCCUGGGGAGCACGGCCGCAAGGCUG